GCCGCCUUAGCUCAGCUGGUAGAGCUCCCGUCUUGUAAACGGAAGGUCGUCGGUUCGAACCCGACAGGCGGCUCCA
This 76-nucleotide transfer RNA is filed under the name Isoptericola hypogeus. Its description in RNAcentral is "tRNA-Thr". It matches the Rfam family "tRNA". From Rfam's summary of the family: Transfer RNA (tRNA) molecules are approximately 80 nucleotides in length. Their secondary structure includes four short double-helical elements and three loops (D, anti-codon, and T loops). Further hydrogen bonds mediate the characteristic L-shaped molecular structure. tRNAs have two regions of fundamental functional importance: the anti-codon, which is responsible for specific mRNA codon recognition, and the 3' end, to which the tRNAs corresponding amino acid is attached (by aminoacyl-tRNA synthetases). tRNAs cope with the degeneracy of the genetic code in two manners: having more than one tRNA (with a specific anti-codon) for a particular amino acid; and 'wobble' base-pairing, i.e. permitting non-standard base-pairing at the 3rd anti-codon position. Lineage: Bacteria; Bacillati; Actinomycetota; Actinomycetes; Micrococcales; Promicromonosporaceae. RNAcentral also lists the same sequence under 10 other names. The record is from RNAcentral.